UGGAGCCCUCCCUCUGCUCCGUCCAUAAGCCAGCACAAGCACGCACGCGCCGAGUCCGUAGUAGUGACACUGUCUCUUCCCUUUCCGUGCGCGGUCGCUCUGUCUUUCGUUCUGCGCUUUCAGAGAACGUGCAGCUGAUCCAUCACAGCUCUCGCCGCUCACUUCACCGAGCUGUCGUGGUUCGCGGAGCGCUUGCCGACGAACGCGUCGAGUCGCUGUCGGCUCACAUAGGUGUGCACCUCCGUACCCCACUCCCAGCCCUCCCUCCUCUCCCUCCUCCCACCCCCCUCCCCAAAAAGAAAAAACGCCAAGCAUACAGGCGCGAGAUGGCAUCUGUGUCACCUUCUGAAACAGGCGGCACGCUCAUCACGUUCCUGCAGCAGCUGCGCGGCACCCUGGUCGAGAUUGAGCUGAAAAACGCCUCCAUUGUCUCAGGCGAAAUCGCCUACGUCGAUGCCAAUAUGAACACGUACAUGACACACGCAAAAAUCACCAGCAAGGGCAAGAACCCUGUGGAAGUCGAGGAGUACAUGGUGCGCGGUAGCACGAUCCGCUACAUCAUUAUGCCGGAGAGCCUGAACACGUACGAUAUUCUGAAGCAGGCUUCGACAAAGAAGAACGGCGCAUCGAAGAAGUAGGCCGCGGCGGCGCUGACUACGGCAGAGAGGCGCGCGCACGUUCGGGCGAGUGAUCGGGUCAUCGAGGUGUUCUGCUGAAGCGGAGAGGGACACACAAAGCCCGAAGGAAGGAGAGAAAGAGAGAGUUACGCGUGCCAACGUUUUGGCGGUGCUGCGAAGAGACGCGGCUGACAGUUCGGGGCUACAUGUCGAAAGGAGUCUCUCGCUGAUGCUGUGCAUGAGCGAGUGUAUAGGGGGGAAGAGAAGGGGAAAAGGGAGGGGAGGCACUCGAGCCGAUGGCGGCACGAUGAGCUGACCUCGAUCACACGAAACGCGCACAGCUUCGUCCCGUCUUCGCCAGUAGUCUCCCGUUCGCCCCCCCCCCCUACUUCCUCCGUCGCGGCAGUCAUCUGAGGCACGCGCACAGCGGCAUUCCGUGUCGCUUGUGGCCCGUGCGUAAAGAUGCUUGCUCCGCGUAAGCACGGCUUCUGAGUAAAGGAGGGAGGAGGAGGGGAGGCAGGGCUCUGAUCUGGAUGCCGCCCGCGUGUGCGGUUGUGUUGGCGUUUUGAUGCGUAUACAUUGUACAUGUAUGUGUCUACGCGUCGGUGUAUGUCUAGUCGUGGCGUGCGUGCGCUUCUGUUGUGUAACUUGCGCGCACCUAAAUCACAAACCGAAAAGGACGACGUAGAUGUGAAACGACGCAGCCCAG
This 1326-nucleotide unclassified non-coding RNA is filed under the name Leishmania donovani. RNAcentral describes it as "gene:LdHU3.22.1390(CDS-product:small_nuclear_ribo nucleoprotein_putative)". Lineage: Eukaryota; Euglenozoa; Kinetoplastea; Trypanosomatida; Trypanosomatidae. The record is from RNAcentral.